This 15362-nucleotide long non-coding RNA is filed under the name Eucalyptus grandis. RNAcentral describes it as "long non-coding RNA (EGRA_LNC003460)". The record is from RNAcentral. Lineage: Eukaryota; Viridiplantae; Streptophyta; Magnoliopsida; Myrtales; Myrtaceae.
ACCGACGUCGCUCCUGCUCCGCCCGCUGCUGCCUUCGCCGCGCCUCGCCUGUAGCCCGCGACGCCGCUGCUCUGCCGUGCCUUCGCCAUGCCCCGACGUCGCUCCUGCUCGGCCCGCUGCUGCCUUCGCCGCACCUCGCCUGCAGCCCGCGACGCCGCUGCUCUGCCUUCCCCGUGACUCGAAGUCGCGCCCGAAGCCAUGCCCCAAAGCCCGCGAUGCCGCAGCUCUGCCUUGUCUUUUCUUUUAAUCUUCGAAAUAGAAACAUUGCUUAGAGUCUUAUGUUUUUCGUGGUGCUUGUCUGACACUCGUUGUUGUUUUGUAGUUAGUUGGGCUUGAUGUUUUGGAAAUCUGAGUAGAACAUGUGAAAACAAAAUGUCUUUCAGUGACGUGCUUACUUGGUUGCACUUUACUGGAUAAGUGUAGAGAAGAAGCCCCCAUUUUGCUGUCUCUUUUGUUUCUUUAACCUGAUGGCCAAUAUAUAUGAUGUUUUCUUAUAAUUCUGAAAGUCUUUAGUCCUUAUGCCGUUGAGGUGUGCUCUUUUAGUAAGCUCAAUACAGGAGUAAUUCCAUCGGGGUUUAUGGACCCUGGUUUGGAAGUCAUGAUUACUUAUUUGCUGUAAUGAAUUGUGCUUUAAAUGUUUGAUUUUGGUUGAUAUAGUCCCCUUUAUGCAAUGUUCUAUUCCUAAUAAGUUCAUUUCUCAUAAGCUGUUUAAAGGAGAGCAAAACAUUCUUGAAUAUUUCUUCCCUCGUGAAUGCAGCUUUAACCUUAAGUACCUACCAACAUUGGUGGAAAGAGAUGUUCAUUGAAAGACAUGGAAUAUGUGGCACGCCUGCUACAAGAGUAGUUUGCAUUCUCUUGUUCAUGCUCAGGAGGAGAGGAAGAGACAACCUAGACAAGGCUUAUAUGUUUGAAACGGGAAGCCUUCAGAUGCUCCAGUGAGGAGAUGUGGGUAUGAGAUGAAGACUCCAGUUAAAUGGGAAGAGGGAAGACGUAGGAAGGAGAUUAUAAGAAAAGAUGUGGACCACUUAGAUCUUAUGGAAGUCUUGACACAAAGUGCAAUGGCAUUGGAAGAAUUCAUAUGGCUAACCCUACUUAAUAGGAUAACAUUUAAUUUGUUUGUGGUAAAUAUUGUGUGGUGAAAUUGUAUCUGGUACAUGACGUAGCUUGAUGUACUUUAUAUUAGAUGUAAACUCACGGCCUCUUUUAUUACAGGAAGCUUUACAUGAAAAAGGACUUCGAGAUGAUACAACAUGCAUUGUUAUCGAUAUAUUACCACAAGAUAAACCAAUGGCUUCUUUGCCACCACCGAAGAAGCCAGGAAAAGGAGUAUUCAAGUCAAUUUUUCGUAAAAAGUCAUCCGAAUCAUCUUCUCAGAUUGAUCAAGAAUAUAUUGAGCCAGAUGUAGUGGAGGAGUUAUAUGAGGACGGAUCCACAAUGCUCUCAGAAAGGUCUACAUCUUAACCUCCACUUUCAGUCACAACAAUGGAUCUUUUUUUACAGUAAUUUGGUGGACCACUCUUGUAUGCCUAACUGUGAUUGCAUGACGUAUCAAUGUUUCUUUGACUAAGAAAUGCUUGUAAAAUGCAGGCUAGAUACAAAAUACCCCCUAUGCAACAUGUUUAGGCUGUUCAUGUGUUCUGUAUGUCAAGUAGAGCUAAAGCCGGGAGAGGGCAUAUCCAUACAUGCCGGUUCAUCAAAUCCAGGAAAAGAGCGUUGAUAGUUUCUUGAAUAUCCAGUUUCUGACUUCAAAGCUGAGAGACGAAUGAUACCAGCCUCUUUGCAGGGUAUGUGGACGGAUGUCAUAAGUUUGGCUGUCCUAAUGAUAUGCCAGAGGUAAUUAACUUUUUUAAUUUUGAAUUCAUUCCGCUGUACACCGUUUCUUCCAAUUGUAGAGCUAACAUUCAAGUUUACCCAAUCUCCACUGUAAUAUCAACGUAAAGGGUGCUUGAUGAGGGUUCAUAUGCCCAAUUGGCUUCUUGAAUGAUUGUUGCUUUGUUCUUCCUUUUUGAAAAGUAGGGAAGUCAGUUUGUGGAAUAGAUAUGGGGAACUGAUGAUUCUCCGCAAGAGGCGCAUCUGUAUGUACUUUGUUGGGUAGUGACAUUUUUUCAUUGAAUAGAAAUCAGGCUGUUGAAGCUCUCUUGUCCAUUCUACUAAUACUGCUUCCGUUGCUUGGUCAGUUAGUCUAUAGCUUGAGGUUAUGGGCAUCUAAAUUCAUGAAAUUUGUUUAUGCGUUGUUCGAUCAAAUCUGAUGAACUUGAUUCCAUCAAAGCACUUUCAUCAUCUGUUAUUUUCCUCCUUUUACUGUCCUAUCUUUGAUGAAUGACAAGUUUGUUUAUUAUUGCUGCAUUCAUUUUCAUUUUUUUUAAACUAAAAAUGAAAAAAAAAAAGAACCUGUUGGAACCUGGAACCAACCCCGGAACCUGUGACAGGGUAGGUUCUAGGUUCUUGGUUCUGACGGGUAGGUUCCAGGUUCCAAAAAAUGAGGAACCUGUAUUUGAGGGUAGGUUCCAGGUUCCAAGCGGAACUUGUAAAGAACCGGGAACCGCUCACCCCUACAUAUCCCAGAUUGCAACUUCAUAAAAGUGAUUACAAACUGAAACUUUUUAUUUUAAUUUGUUAUGAUGCAAUUCAUGGAACAUUGUAGGUUUUUUUUUUCUUCGCAUUUGAAGCUCACCGUUGUGGAAGCUUGAGAAUUUAUCAUUUGAUUAUCUCCUUAGCCUGCUGAUAGAAGUUGACUUAUAGAAAAAAUUGAGAUCGGAUUCACACUUUCUCAAUAGACAAUGUUAAAGAUAUUAUUAGGUUACUGCUGGUGCUUUGUUUUAGCUAAACUAGAUUUCACUCUAAUGUUGUAUAUUUCUAUAUACUGUACUUACUCUUGUUUAUAGAAAUAAGACAUGUUAACUAUACUGCUGUCUUAUUUAUGCUGAAAAUGUAUUGUCUACAUCUUGUUGACCAUCAUAUUUACAUCUUUUUAGGUGCAACCUAAGUGCACAGAUUGAUAGGCUUAUGAGGCUCCUAUUUCCAACAAUCAUCACAAUCAAUGAAGAUACCAAUGAAUUCGUUACAAUCAAUGACAUCAGUCCCACUAAUCAUCAACGAUACAUAUGUGCUUUUUUAUUUUAUUUUAUUGUGGCUUGAAAUGUUCAUUACAAGUAGCAAAGACGAAAAAGAAUUGAGGAAGAAGAUAUCACGGUUGCCCAAAAUACAAGAUUGGAGAAAGUUUCUGUUUUUUUUCUUUUUUGCUUGGGUUGAUGUAGAAAUUAGUCCAUCAGCAAGAAAUGUGUCAAAAAAUUUUCAUUGAAGCAAUGUUGAAGAGAAACUAUCAAGCCAUACUGAGGAUGAUAGCAAUUCAAUAGAUGCAUAAUUAAGAGUUUUCGAGGCACAACUGAAAAUUUUCGAACAAGAUGUGUCAAAGUUAAAGAAACAAAAUUCAGCAUUGAAGACAAUGUUAGUUGUGUCGUGGGUGUUUAUAGUGAUUUUAGGAAACUUGUUAUUUCGAAAUAUGAAGAUGAAUAAUAUAAUGAGCUUGCCGUAAAAUGUAUUAAUGUCGUUUGCAUUAUUAAGUUAUUUGAGUAGAUGUCAUGUAUUUGUCCACAUGAAAUUCGAACAUGAAUGAAGUGCAAGUUUUUUGCAAACUCCUUUGUUUUGCUUGGAAAAUGUAUCGCACUAGGUGAUUAAGAAACAUAUCUAGAAGGCCAGUAUAGUAAAACAAACAAACAUCAGUGUGUUCGAUCUUAAAACAAGUCUUUGGCGCAGUAAUUAGACUACACUCCUCCCAUUCAGUCACGCCCCAAACCAAGUCGCUUUUCUUGAAGUUUGGAUGUACAUCAGUCAUUUGCUCAACCUUUGUUACUAUAUUCCUAGUUCACCUUUUCAGUGCUGCAUUCAUGUUUAGUUCUUCCUUAUAGUUGAAAGCAUCAUCAAAUCCAAACUUGUUCUUCAUCAAAUUAACCUUUUUUCUUGAACAUAACAGCAAGCGAGAAUUUUAAGUAAGUAUAAAAUCGGGAAGAGAAUAUUAAGCAAAUUCUAUUUAAGGAAACUAGAUAAAUGCGAGAUGACUACUUUCUUUUUGCUACCGACGCUACCAUACCCAACACUUCAUUUUUAAAACCUCAUUGUUUCAUUGAGCAUACAAAAUUUGGCGUUCAAACCCGAAACCUCAUUUUUUUCUCUAUUUCUUGCCCAACAACCUUUUUUGAAAUAAACUUGGGCAACUCUUUUUUUUUUCUUUAAAGCUUUGGGAAAUAAAUUCAUACGUAUUCCUGUACUCAAAAUUAAUCCAUUAAACUUUGUAUGCACCUAAUUUAAAACCUUAUUGUGUUAUUGAGCAAAUAAAAUUUGACGUUCAAAUCUGACACCCCAGUUAUUUUCUAUUUUCUUGCCCAACCACCCUUUUUGGAAAUAAUCUUAGGCAACUCCUUUUUUUUUUUCUUCUUUAAAGCUUUCGGAAAUAAAUUUGUACGUGCUCCUAUAUUCCAAAUUAAUCCAUCAAAUUUUGCACGCUCCUAGUUUAAAACCUUAUUGUGUUAUUGAGCAAAUAAAAUUUGGCGUCCAAACUUGACACCCAAUUUAUUUUCUAUUUUCUUGCCCAAGCAUCAUUUUUGGAAAUAAUCUUGGGCAACUCUUUUUUUUUUCUUUAAAGCUUUCGGAAAUAAAUUUGUAUGAGCUCCCGUACUCAAAAUUAAUCCAUCAAAUUUUGUACACACCUAGUUUAAAACCUCAUUGUAUUAUUGAGCAAAUAAAAUUUGGUAUCCAAACCUAACACCCAAUUUAUUUUCUAUUUUCUUGCACAAGCACCAUUUUUGGAAAUAAUCUUGGGCAACUAUUUUUUUUUCUUUAAAGCUUUCUGAAAUAAAUUCAUACGUACUCCCGUACUCAAAAUUAAUCCAUUAAACUUUGCACGCACCUAGUUUAAAACCUACUUGUUUUAUUGAGCAUAUAAAAUUUGGCGUCCAAAUCUGACACUUCAUUUUUUUUUCUCUAUUUCUUGCCCAACAACUGGACACCUCAUUUUUUUCUUUAUUUCUUGUCUAACAACCUUUAUUGAAAUAAACUUGGGUAACCUUUUUUUUUUUUCUCUUUAAAGUUUUCGGAAAUAAAUUCGCACGUGCUCCUGUACUCAAAAUUAAUCCAUUAAAGUCUGCACGCACCUAGUUUAAAAUCUCAUUGUGUCAUUGAGCAAAUAAAAUUUGGCGUCCAAACCCGACACUUAAUUUAUUUUCCAUUUUUUUGCCCAACCACCUUUUUGGGAAAUAAUUUUGGGCAACUCUUUUUUUUUUUUCUUUAAAAUUUUCGGAAAUAAAUUCGUAUGAGCUCCUGUACCCAAAAUUAAUCCAUCAAAUUUUGCACGCAUCUAGUUUAAAACCUCAUUGUGUUAUUGAGCAAAUAAAAUUUGGCGUCCAAAUCCGACACCCAUUUAUUUUCUAUUUUCUUUUCCAAUCGCUCUUUUUGGAAAUAAUCUUGGGCAACUCUUUUUUUUUCUUUAAAAGUUUUCGGAAAUAAAUUUGUAUGAGCUCCCGUACUCGAAAUUAAUCCAUCAAACUUUGGUAUGCACCUAGUUUAAAAUCUCAUAUGUGUUAUUGAGCAAAUAAAAUUGUCGUCCAACCCGACACCUCUAUUUAUUUUCUAGUUUACUAGCCCAACCACGUCUGUCUUGCAAAUAAUCUUAGGGCAAACUACUAUUUUUUUUUCUUUAAAGCUUUCAGAAAUAAAUUUGUACGAGCUCCCGUACUCAAAAUUAAUCAAUCAAAUUUUGUACGCACUUAAUUUAAAACCUCAUUGUGUUAUUGAGUAAAUAAAAUUUGGUGUCCAAACCCGAUACCCCAUUUAUUUUCUAUUUUCUUGCCCAACCACCAUUUUUAGAAAUAAUCUUGGGCAGCUCUUUUUCUUUUUCCUUUAAAGCUUUCAAAAAUAAAUUUGUACAUGCUCUCCCACUCAAAAUUAAUCCAUCAAACUUUGCACGCACCUUGUUUAAAAUCUACUUGUUUUAUUGAGCAUAUAAAAUUUGGUGUCUAAACCCGACAAUUCAUUUUUUUCUCUAUUUCUUGCCCAACAACCAUUUUUGAAAUAAAUUUGGGCAACCUUUUUUUUUUCUUUAAAGUUUUUGGAAAUAAAUUCUCACGUUCUCCCAUACUUAAAAUUAAUCCAUCAAACUUUGCAUGCAGCUAGUAUAAAACCUCAUUGUGUUAUUGAGCAAAUAAAAUUUGGUGUCCAAACCCAACACCCUUUUUAUUUUCUAUUUCUUGCCCAACCACCUUUUUAGGAAAUAAUCUUGGGUAACUCUUUUUUUUUCUUUAAAGCUUUCGGAAAUAAAUUCGUACGAGCUCCCGUACUCAAAAUUAAUCUAUCAAACUUUGCAUACACCUAAUUUAAAACCUCAUUGUGUUAUUGAACAAAUAAAAUUUGGUGUCCAAACCCAACGCCCUAUUUAUUUUCUAAUUUCUUGCCUAACCACCAUUUUAUGAAAUAGUCUUGGGCAACUCUUUUUUUUUUCUUUCUUUAAAGCUUUCGAAAAUAAAUUCGUACGAGUUCCCGUACUCAAAAUUAAUCCAUCUUAUGCUUCGGAAAAGGCUGAUGCAUCCGAUGACCUGAAUGAGGAAGAAAAAAAAUGCAAAUUAUUCCUUUUGUUAGCUGAUGCAUCAUCUAUUGGCAGCCCUAGUACUAAUGGCAAGAAUUGGUCAUCAAGUUUAGUAAAUUGCUGUAUCAGGAAUACUUCUGGCGAUCUUAGUGAUGCUGAAUAAUUUGUAGCAUAAUCUAUCAUGGAGUUCAUAUUCUUUUUUGACAAUAGCAAAAUUGAAGGCAACAUCCCUUCCUUCGCCUCAUCCAAUCACUGUCCAGUUCUAAGGUUUCCAGACUUUCAAUUGGGCUGAGGAUGCAAAUGCCAAUCCUUUGCCAAUCUCUGCUCAUUUCGACAAACAAGCAUCUGGUAGGGCUCUAUUCUUGAGACAAUUCAAUAUGACCUGCUAUUAUGAUGAAAGAAGUACUCAUACAUUGAGUAUAAAAGAGCAAAUGAUGGCAUGCACAAUCUUAUUACUUCACGAACAAACACUAUCUAUACAUUAUUCAAGUAAAAAUUAGAUGAAUACACCCAUUUUACUAUAAUAAGAUGGUUUAAAAGCACAUCAUCUCACUGAUCCCAACUGUUAUACAAAUGGCCAUAUAAGAUAAAUCAAAAAGAUGCAUCCACAACCCUACUUCAUUGAUGCCAUUAUCAAUAAAAAUAACAAAUUGAUCAACACCACUUCACCAAUCACAUUAUCACAAAAGAUAUUACCACAACAUGUCAAAACUAAACAUUCCCAAAUGUUGUCACUUUUGUUUAUUUGAAUAACUUCUAAUGCUAGUGCUCUUGACAUUAGUAGGGGGAUUCAUACUAGUAGAACCGCUGGCACGACCACUUGCAUUUUUACUUGUAUUUCUCUAAACCUGCAAAGAGUAUAUUUUUUUAAAGUAUUAUUGAUGAAACAAGCAUGACAUAAUAGAAACGGAAGUACUAACCGGAAUUUUUUGUCUUGAAAGUUGUGUUUGAGAAGAUAUAGACCUAAUCUUCUUAAUUGGACAAGUUGAACUAUUAUGUCCCGUCUUCAAGCAAGUUCGACAUGUCAUCUUCAUUCCUAUCCUCGACAUCCUAGUUCCACUUGCCACCCCACUUUCCUCUUUUGAUCUUUUAUGUUUACGUCUAUCUCGCUUUACCGGGCUUGGAAAUGGUUUAGGCGGCUCCUCAUAAGUCUUUUUCCAAAAUCUCUUUCCUUGAAUUGGCAUCAUCAUGUUUUCAUACGCUGCUAAGAACUUGAUCUUCUUAUAACAUUUAUCAACAUAGUUAUAUGCAUCUUCUUGCCUAUGAUUUAUUGUAGAAAUGGCAUGAGGACAAGGGAUGCCAGUAAGUUACCAUUUUCUACAAGAGCAAUCUCUCUUGAAUACAUCCACUACAUAUUUGUCAUCCUUAUCCAUUACCUCAUAUCGAGUAUCACCAUUCCAUAUCACUUGAUAGUAUGUUGCACAAAUUCUAUUUUCUUCUAGUUUUCUUACGAUUCUUCGACCACAAUCUUUUUUCCAUUUAGCACAUGCAUCCUUCUAUGUUUGCAUCAUUGUCAUUAAUUAUCUUCAUUUCCUCUAACAUACUAUAUAUGAACUUACACCUAGUAUGUGUAAUUUUUCCAUUGAAUGUCUCGUAUAAAUUAUUGUCAAUAAUGUCACAUUUCACAUCAGUAUUAAAUAAAGCCUUGCACCAGUGCUUUAGCUCUGUUGCACCAGAUCAUGAUAUGCACAAGGACUAAUUUUCUUCAAUGCCUGAGAGUGUUUAUCAUACUAUGUCCUAGUAUUGCUCUUAGCACACUGCCAAAAUAGUCUUUACAUUUGUAUUCAUUUAUGUUUCUUGCCCCAAUUAGCAUAGAUGUGUCUAGGACACAUUCUAUGCUCAGUUGUAGGCAGUAAAUCAGCCACAACUCCUAUAAGGCCCUUGUUACGCCUUGAUCCUUGGGCAUGCACCAAUGCCUUACUUGGUUAAUUAAUAGCGAUGUCCUAGGACACAUUGCCGAUCCUUUCAUUUUAAUACGCAUGCGGAAGCAAAUAUAAAAUCCUCAGACAAUAAAAUAAUGAGAUAGGAAAGUAGGAUUAAAAACUCGAACUUGAACCAACACACUUAUAUACAUAUAUAACAACUUAGUCAUAUAUAUACAUAUGCAAGCUAUACUAGAAAGUCGGUUCCUACUCAACGAUCUCUCAUUCUUCAUCACUCUAGUUAGUGCCCUUAGGUGCGUACAUUGGAGAGUUAGAAUCAUCCUCAAGAUUAGGAUCAUUUGCAUCCACCACCGAUUCAUCUUUAUGGUCUGCUGUACUCUUUCCAAAAGUAGCUUCCAAAACGAACCGGGGUACAUCAGAUUCCGGCACAGGACCCUCCCUUCACCUGUCAUGGUAGUGGCGAUGCCAUGACCGAUACCUAUAGGGCACCUUAUCGGGUUCAUUCACAUCAACCCAAAUGGUUGACUUCACUAGUACAUAUUUUAGUCUUUCGGGGUGGGGGUGUAUCGGGAAGUGGUAUCCUAUCUCAAUGAUUUCUUCGAGCAUACCAAAAUACAUGAGAGGAUGAGGAGGUGGAGGUGUUGCCAUCUAGGGACCUGAAAUGUUGUCCCACAAUGGGGCGAGACUACGUCUCAGCAAGUUCUACCCCCUAAUACCUGAUUAGGAAGUCAAUAUGCCCUAAGGGCUGCCUAAACACAACAUGGGUUAGAGCAUUUACCUCGGCCUCAGUUCCAUCCUACAAUUCAGUAUAUAUAUAUAUAUCAAAUAUACACAAUCACAUCAUAUCACCAAAUUAGAUUGAAUUAUCGAUCAAUUGACUCAGUCGACUACAUGUCACAAUGACCUUUCCCUGGUCGGUAUAUUCAAUAUUAUCUAUAAAGUCAUAUUAAUUUAGGAUUGCUCACCCAAAGCUGAUAAUAUAUAGUAUAGCUCGCUCAAAGCUGAUAAUAUAGUAUACUGUAUAUGUGCUCAUCCAAAGUUGAUCAUAUGUGCUCACACAAAGCUGAUAAUAUGUGCUCACCUAAAGCUGAUAAUAUGGUAUACUAUUUAUACGCUCGCCCAAAACUGAUAAAUUAGAGCCCUUAGGCCAAGAUAGUAUACCAUUUUCAUUAUAUAACAGUUCAUCAUUUUUAUCAUACUUGAUAAAAAUAGUCGUGUAUGAGUACACGGUCGGCCUUAGCCAAAAUACAGUAUUUUCACCCUUGAAAAUUUCACCAUUUAUAUGGUCUACCAAAAUAUUUUUGGCAUUGUAAACCAACACUUGGUUAAUUUCCAAUCAAUUACCAAAAUUGAUUAAUUUAGGAAUAAAUUCCUAAAAAUACAAUUAAAUCAAUUCAGUACAAAUUACAACUCUAAUAAAUAAAUAGACUGCACCACAAUAAUCAACAUAAAAUUCCGAUCAUCGACUAUCCCAACCUAAUUUUUGGAAAAUAAAUAAAUAAAUAAAUAAUUACGAAAAAUAUUAAAUAAAUGCAAUAAAUCCAAUUUAAGCCUGUAAUGCCUAAUUAGACGCCGAAACGGACUUGGAAAAUUUCCAAGGUUCGAUUAAUAAAUAAUAACACCAGUCUACUUGCUAAUGUCACUAACCAUUUGCCUAACAUGCAAUAAUAAAGCACUAAUUUAAUUACUCUACUCUAAUCUAUCCACUUAAUCAUACUUAAUUAAAUCUAAUCAACCAUUAAGCAUCAUUAGCCUACUAAGCGAAGUUUAGUGAGCAAAACUCACUUGAUUAACGAACGGGUCGGAUCAAACCGACGGGAAUGUCGCGGGGGACAAUUCUUCUCAAAGCAGGCUUAGGUUUUGAGGUUGGGAUUAACCUCAAAACGGGCCUAGAAGUUGCUGAAAUACCCACACGACUUGCUGCUGUUCUUGGCUGGAAAACAAAGGAAAUAGGGCUGGUUAAGGCGAGCAAGACUGGCGGUGGCAACGGUGAGGCCAAGCAGCUAAAGGCGGGGACUCACGGUGGUUCCGGUGACUCACAUGGCCACACACGGUGUCGGGGACGAGCUAAGUAGUCCACGAAUAGCCAGGGAUGGCAACUGUAGCGGCGUAAGGGCAAGAUGGGCGGAGGGCACGCGUGUAGGGCAAUGCGCGCGCGGACGGCGGACAGCGGUGGCGUGCGAUCCUAGUGGUGGCAUGGCUGCUUCCGGUGGCUUCUCUGUUGGCUGGGGUGUCAAGCAAGGCAAUGAGGGGGAGUGGAGUGGGGUGGACGGUGAAAUGGCUAGUACGAGCGCCUAGAGGGGGUGAAUAGGUGAUCAAAGAAAUUUUUGUAUAUCUUAUCAAUGUGAAAGCUAGUAUGAGCACCUAGAGGGGAGUGAAUAUGUGCAUAAACAAUUUUGCAAGAUAUAUGCAGUGUUAAUCAAGAGUCACCAAUAUGUAGAAGAUGUACUUUGUGGCUUGAAAAUAAUCAACCAUAGGUCAAAUACAUGAAAAUUUCAUAAAAGCUAUUCCGGUAGAUUAUGACGCAUUAAAUUCGAGCCAAAUUGAAAUUAACCGUGAAAUUGAAAUCGAAUUCAGAAAUUGAGAGUUCUGUUAUGUCACAUGUUGUUUUAGGAGUGUUGGUUUAGUCUUAGAAGAUUUUUCAGCAAUCCAAGACUUUUUUGGAAAAAGUCGAGGUAGGGCCGUUUUCAAUCAGAAUUUGCAGAUGACUGUUUUUUAUUGCGAAUUUGGGAUGCCAGUGGGUUAUAUUGGUGAGAAAAAAAAAUACUAAUUUGAUUGAGGACUCCACAAUUGAUUUUUCAGAGGCCAGAUUGAAUUGUUUCAAGAAGAAUUGAAGUCCAAAUUGUGCCAUUUCUCUUGCAAAAUUCGUAUGCCACAUAUACCGAACAUUUUGGACUAUCUAAGGGCUUCUAGAAGGGGCAAAAUAGUCUAGAAAAUAUGGGUAGGUGACAGUUGGGUGGUGGGCCAUGUUUGAGUGACCUGAGAGAGAGAGAGAGAGAGAGAGAGAGAGAGAGAGAGAGAGAGAGAGAAAUUGGUUCCCCCCCCCCCCCCAACUCUUUCUUCUGUUGAGCUCCUCCUCCAUCUCAAUCUUCUUCUUCUUCUUCUUCUUCUUCUUCUUCUUCUUCGGAUGGUAGCAACCAUGGAGAUCGACCAGCAAGCCGCUAGACCUCAUGGUGUCGCACGCCCUCGCCGUCGCACCGGACUGCCGUUACUCAGCCCCACUCUUUCUUCCUCCCCUUCUCUGUCCGUCUAGCAGCUUCUCUCCUCCAUCCCCUUGCUUUGCGAUGCCCUUGCAAGCCAAAGAUGGCGAGGCUAGCAGCACCGUCGGAGUAGUCGCACACCAUUGCCGCUCGUCGUCCAAGCCUCGCGCACACGCCGUCGCUGCUUGCCGCUGCUCUGCACGGCUCCGGCUCCCUCUCACUUGCCCCUGUGUCGCAGCUGCUGCCUCAUCUCAUGCCAGAGCCGUUUAGCCACCUUUGGCCACCUUGAGACCCUGCUAUUGGCCGCACGGCACAGCUGCAGCUCCUCUGCCCAUUUUCGACCCAAGAUGGCACCGGAUUUGCCCUUUCUCAGCCUCAACCAGCAGAGGAUGGCAGCUGGAAAAUGGGUAUCCCUGCUCGGUUUUGGCCUAUUUUGGCUGGCUUCCCGGCCCCGAAAGCUUGGCCUACCUUGAGGAAAGUCAAUCCCCACGACGUUCCCAUCUUUUUUGUCCGAAUAGUUCGUUAAUCGGGUGAGUUUAGCCUCUAAUCCUUGAUUAGAGGGUUAAUGAUGCUUAUUGGGGGUUUAGCUUAAGCUAAGUAAGCUUAGGUGGUUAAUUAUAUUUAGUUAAGUGUGGAUUAGAUUAAGAGGUGUGAUUAGUUUAGUGCAUGAUUAAUUAAGCUAAGUAGAGGUUUAGAUUAGUAUAAUCUUGUUUAGACCUUAAUUGAUUAUUUUAGAUUAUUUAAUUAUUUAAUAAAAAUAUAUAUUUUAAAAUAUUAAUAAAAUAUUAUUAUUUAAUUAAUUUUCGGAAUAAAUUUAAUUAUUUAUUAUUUUCCAGAAAUUUUUCCGAGACCUUAAAUUGUCGGAAUUUCGUGCUAAUUGUUAUUAUGUAUUUCAGAUUAUGCAAUUAAUGGUUAGAUAUUGCAAAUUGAGUGUUGGUUGUGAAAAAUAUGAACUUCAUUUAGAAAAUCCUAGGUGUCGGGUUUUGAUACCAAAAUUGAAUUUUAAGGAUUAUAUUAAAUGGUGGGGUUUGAAAAAGUAAGAUAUUGGUUUUCUGGUUCGAAAUUAAUGUGCCCCCACACACGUGAAUAAUUUAUGGAACAUUUUUAAUAUGAAGAAAAUAGGCCGGGAUCACUAUUUUAAAUAGAAGCAUUGAGUGAAAUGCAAAGUAUCCUGGGCCGAGUAUGAACUUGUUGUGUGUUAAUUAAGAGAAAAUUGUCCUGUGCUAUUGAGCCGGACUAGCCCUUAUAUGGGAUGCCCCAUACAACGGAUGUGGGUCGUAGUAGAUUCUGGGCCCACGCUCCUUUAGGAACGCCGUUGACAUAGUGACGAAGUUGUGCUCCAAGGUGGGGAGACAAUGCCUGGGAUUAAUGUCAGUAGACAGGGAUAAGGCUUAGCAGUCNNNNNNNNNNNNNNNNNNNNNNNNNNNNNNNNNNNNNNNNNNNNNNNNNNNNNNNNNNNNNNNNNNNNNNNNNNNNNNNNNNNNNNNNNNNNNNNNNNNNGGUUAUGCCCCAUGUUAUGGCAAUGAAUACCAUUGAAAUGCAUGCUGAGUGUGUUAACGUGUCGGAUUAUGAGACGAAAUUGUGUAGUAUGGUAUGGGACGUGUCAUAAUGAUUCGGUCUUAUAAUUAGGACCCCUGUGGUUGUUGAUUAUCUGAAGUUAUUGCGUUCUGGUUGCUUAAGCUCAUAUUACUGCACAUGAUUGAGUGAUAUGAAUAUGAUUGAGUGAUUUGAAUUAUGCCAACUUAUAGAAAGGAACUGAGGCGAGUUAAGUCCUCUGUGUGGUGUGGCUAGGCCAUCCUGGGGUGUAUUUCCUUUCUAAUAGGGGUUUAGGGGGUGAACUUGCUGAGACAUUGUCUCACCCCGUUGUGGGCCUAUAUUUUCAAGUCCCUAGUGAACGAAGCGGCCAAUUUGUUUUGGUUGGCCUUGAAGAGUUGUAGAGGUGAAGUCAGAAGGAUUGGAGAACGUGUUCGACUUGUAGGUCGUAGAACAGUUCAUUUUUAAGAGCCGAUCUUUUGUAGACUUUUGGUUGUAGACCUCUGUUUGUAAACUCUGUUGAUUUAUGAAAGUGUAUUGUUGUGAAAUUGCUUCUUGUUGCUCUAUCACGAAUUUUAUUGUCGAGGGUUUUAUAAUAUGCUUCCGCAUGUGCAUAUAAAAAGAAUUGGGUUGGCGACGCAUCUUAGGAACGUCGCAUUUACAUGACCGGAUGGGAUGUUCGCGUAUCUCGGGGUUCGGGGCGUGACAUUGCGAUGGGCAUACACCCUUUUAAUUUCAACAAGCCUUCUUAGUUAGAUAUUGAGCCUCACAUAUCAUGCACAUGUCUAUGUGAUGUCAUCUAUUUUCUCGCACAAAGUAAGUUUUUUAUCUAUGCACUUUGCAAUUUACUUACCUUCCUGUAUAUAUUGAGCAGUCCAUGAUUAGUCUAGAAUUCAAUACCACAGUCAUUUAAAUUUGAAAGUAAUUGUCAUAUAUAUAUAUUUAUUUAAAAUAUUGGCAAAGGAAACUUUCAGUUGGUGUCUUUGUUUUUCCUCAAGCAUGUUACAAAGUUCUUUUCCACAAGAAUUUUCAUUUGCUUCGAAAAUGAUAGAAGUCUUUUUUAAAAUUUAUUACAAUUCAUGCUUUCUUCGCCUUUUAAAUUAAAUAUCUUUUUAGUCUAUGCUAAUAUGUUGCAUGUCUUUCAAUCCCUGUUUAGGAAAUCCUCUACAUGUACAAACUUUUCAUAAAUAAACAAAAGGGUAGGAUUAGGUCGUCAUCAUGGAUUGACUCCCUAUUUAUGCCCUAUAUUUAUGCAUGCUUGUUUAUUCAUGACCAAGUAAUCACGGAAUGUCAACGUUCACCGAUCCAGAGUCGUUCAAAAGUAAGAGUAAGAAUGGCCAAAGAGAAUGUACCAAGCCGUGUUGCGACCAUGGAAAGCGAAAUGAAGUAAGUCUCCAAUGUGCUUCAACAGCUCUCAAAGUAGAUAGACUCCAUCUAGGGCAAACUUACUCCCGCCUCAGUCUCAGUCGAGGUAUUGUUACCACAAUCAUCCACUAGAGGUGAUUAAGAUAGAGAUACCGAUGAUAACAUGCUCGAAUUGGAGGAUGAUUCGCACCAAACCGCGAUUGAGAAUGCUAAGUCAAACAAUUUGUCUAAAACUGAGCAUGACAAACGUCUCAAAAAAAGUUGAGGAGAGGCCGAAACAACUACAAGGCCUCCAAGAUCCUACUUUGAUGAACCUCCAUUUAUUCCAAGGUCAAAAUGUCAAAAAAAUUUUAAAUGCCUGAGUUUGAGAAGUACGAUGGUACGACUUGCCCGAGGGCUCAUUUGCAAAUGUACUUGGUUCAAAUGACCCAAUACGUUAAUAAUGCACCAUUAAUGAUCCAGUUGCUCCAAUCAAGUCUAGUAGGCCUACCCUGAGGUGGUACAUCAUGAAGAGCAAGAACCUCCUUGAAACAUGGAGCGAAAUGAGUGAGGCAAUCCUCAAGCAGUAUGUUGACACCUAAAUUUUGCAAUUUUAUUUAGGACUUAAUCGUGUAAUUAGAAAUUAGUUGUUAAAAAAAAGCAAAAACAAAAAUAAAAACAAAAAAAAAAACAAAAAAAAAAAGAGAAAACAUGUGGAAAGGGCCGGGCCAAAUCUCGCCUUGACCUGGCCCAUGCCACCUUCUCCCUCCUCCAUCCCUGCCGUUUCCCCUAGGAGGAGGAGGAAGCAACAAGACAGAGAAGAAG